RNAcentral lists this ribosomal RNA (253 nucleotides) under uncultured bacterium. Its description in RNAcentral is "partial 16S ribosomal RNA". It matches the Rfam family "Bacterial small subunit ribosomal RNA", at positions 524 to 776 of the family's 1533-position model. The record is from RNAcentral.
UACGGAGGGUGCAAGCGUUAUCCGGAUUCACUGGGUUUAAAGGGUGCGUAGGCGGGCAGGUAAGUCAGUGGUGAAAUCCUGGAGCUUAACUCCAGAACUGCCAUUGAUACUAUCUGUCUUGAAUAUUGUGGAGGUAAGCGGAAUAUGUCAUGUAGCGGUGAAAUGCUUAGAUAUGACAUAGAACACCUAUUGCGAAGGCAGCUUACUACGCAUAUAUUGACGCUGAUGCACGAAAGCGUGGGGAUCAAACAGG